This 792-nucleotide ribosomal RNA is filed under the name uncultured bacterium. Its description in RNAcentral is "bacterial SSU rRNA". It matches the Rfam family "Bacterial small subunit ribosomal RNA", at positions 8 to 796 of the family's 1533-position model. The record is from RNAcentral.
AGAGUUUGAUCAUGGCUCAGGAUGAACGCUAGCGGCAGGCCUAAUACAUGCAAGCCGAACGGUAACUUGAAUAGCAAUAUUUGAGCUAGAGUGGCGUAAGGGUGCGUAACACGUAUGCAAUCUGCCCGCAACAGGAGGAUAGCUCCCCGAAAGGGGAAUUAAUACUCCAUAAGAUCACACGAGGGCAUCUGAGGGUGAUUAAACUACAAGGGGCUGCGGAUGAGCAUGCGGUUGAUUAGCUAGUUGGCGGGGUAACGGCCCACCAAGGCGAUGAUCAAUAGGGGAACUGAGAGGUUUAUCCCCCACACUGGCACUGAGAUACGGGCCAGACUCCUACGGGAGGCAGCAGUAGGGAAUAUUGGACAAUGGGCGAGAGCCUGAUCCAGCCAUGCCGCGUGCAGGAAGAAGGCCUUCUGGGUUGUAAACUGCUUUUGCCAGGGGAUAAAAAGUCCCUGCGGGGAAAAUUGAAGGUACCUGGUGAAUAAGCCACGGCUAACUACGUGCCAGCAGCCGCGGUAAUACGUAGGUGGCAAGCGUUGUCCGGAUUUAUUGGGUUUAAAGGGUGCGUAGGCGGUUCUAUAAGUCAGUGGUGAAAUACGGCAGCUCAACUGUCGAGGUGCCAUUGAUACUGAAGAACUUGAGUACAGACGAGGUAGGCGGAAUUGACGGUGUAGCGGUGAAAUGCUUAGAUAUCGUCAAGAACACCGAUAGCGAAGGCAGCUUACUAGGCUGUAACUGACGCUGAGGCACGAAAGUGUGGGGAUCAAACAGGAUUAGAUACCCUAGUAGUCC